Helianthus annuus (common sunflower) is the source of this 471-nucleotide long non-coding RNA. RefSeq lists it as uncharacterized. The record is from RefSeq and is a predicted model, not a curated record. Lineage: Eukaryota; Viridiplantae; Streptophyta; Magnoliopsida; Asterales; Asteraceae. The transcript is spliced from 2 exons.
GGUACCCAUAUGUGAUGUUCCCAAACCCUAACCCUUACACCUGCUGCUGUAUGAAGGAUCAUUUGAUGUGCUUCACGGACGGCUACAAUUAUCUGCUGCUGCUGCUGCUAUAAGAUGAACAAUCGGAGGUCGACCAUCCAACAAACAGCAUAGCAUCAUGAAGAAGCUCGCAUUUUUCCUGAUUCUGUACUCAAAUUUCACAUUCACACAAUCAGCAAAACUCGAUAAGCAAGAAGUGAAGGUACUCGCACAAAUUUGGGGAAAGUUAGGGCUAAGAGAGAAUUGGCGAUGGGAUUUUGACGAGGAUCCGUGCAGUGGCCACGGGGAGUGGCAGUUCACUGUUCGAUGUGUCUGCUCUUUCGAUAAUAAUUCCACCUGCCGUGUUACUGAAAUGUAUGUACGUGCGUACGUAGUGUUUCGAUCUUAUUGCUUUAAUUAUUUGUUAAGUAGCUAGCAUUCUUAAGAUUUUAA